UACGGAAGGGGCGAGCGUUGUUCGGAUUCAUUGGGCGUAAAGCGCGUGUAGGCGGUCAGGUCAGUCGAAGGUGAAAUUUCUACGGCUCAACCGAGAAAAUGCCUCCGAAACUGCCGGACUUGAGUGCGAGAGAGGUGAGUGGAAUUCCGAGUGUAGCGGUGAAAUGCGUAGAUAUUCGGAGGAACACCAGUGGCGAAGGCGGCUCACUGGCUCGCAACUGACGCUGAGACGCGAAAGCGUGGGGAGCGAA
Molecule: ribosomal RNA, 250 nt
Filed under: uncultured bacterium
Lineage: Bacteria
Description: partial 16S ribosomal RNA
Rfam family: Bacterial small subunit ribosomal RNA
Source: RNAcentral